GCCAAUGUGUAUGAACGAAUCAGCCAAAAAUAAACACAUCAAUAGAAUAGACAUGGCAAAGGCCAUAGCAGAAGGUAUACUGGUGGUUAGGUAGAUACUAAUUCCUCCUGUCCAUGCGAAAAGAAAGAGGGUAUGCUGCUCUAGUUUAGAUACAACCUCAAGUGCUUGUCGUUCCAAGUCCCAGUUCAUUUGAUUUAAUGCAUUCCUUCUCCGUUCCACAUCUAACAACUUCACAACACUUGAACGCUAAGGGCGUGAAGG
Molecule: unclassified non-coding RNA, 261 nt
Filed under: Hevea brasiliensis (rubber tree)
Lineage: Eukaryota; Viridiplantae; Streptophyta; Magnoliopsida; Malpighiales; Euphorbiaceae
Source: RNAcentral